RNAcentral lists this ribosomal RNA (2361 nucleotides) under Dolichomastix tenuilepis. Its description in RNAcentral is "partial Bacterial large subunit ribosomal RNA". It matches the Rfam family "Bacterial large subunit ribosomal RNA", at positions 486 to 2912 of the family's 2925-position model. The record is from RNAcentral. Lineage: Eukaryota; Viridiplantae; Chlorophyta; Mamiellophyceae; Dolichomastigales; Dolichomastigaceae.
GAUAGCGAAGAAAGUACCGUGAGGGAAAGGUGAAAAGAACCCCAGUCGGGGAGUGAAAUAGACUAUGAAACCAUAAGCUUACAAUAUGUAGGAGGCUUUUUAAAGGCUGACUGCGUGCUUGUUGAAGAAAGAGCUGGCGACUUAGAAGGCGAGGCGUGGUUAAGAGAUAGAUGUCUCGAAGCCAAAGCGAAAGCAUGUCUGAAAAGGGCUUUUGUCUUUCCUUCUAGACCCGAACCUAAGUGACCUAUCUUUGGACAGGAUGCAACCCAGGUAAAACUCGGUGAAGGUCCGAACCGUGUGAUGUUGAAAAAUCAUCGGAUGAGCUGAAGAUAGCGGUGAAAUGCCAAUCGAACUUAGAGCUAGCUGGUUCUCCUCGAAAUGCGUUGAGGCGCAGCGUUCAUUUAUGUAAUUUGAAGGGGUAAAGCACUGUUUCGAUGCGGGCUGCGAGAGCGGUACCAAUUUGUCACAAACUCAUAAUACUUCAAACAAUUCAAAUGAGCAGUGAGACUAUGGGGGAUAAGCUUCAUUGUCGAGAGGGAAACAGCCCAGAUGACUCGUUAAGGCCCCAAAAUAUGUGCUAAGUGAUAAAGGAGGUGAGAGUGCAGAAACAACCAGGAGGUUUGCUUAGAAGCAGCCAUCCUUUAAAGAGUGCGUAAUAGCUCACUGGUCAAGGAUUCUUGCGCCGAAAAUGUCCGGGGCUCAAGUACAUUGCCGAAGCGGUCAAUUUUAUGGUAGAGGAGCGUUCUCCUUCACGUAGAAGCUUCACUGUGAGGUGAGGUGGAGAGGGGAGAAGUGAGAAUGUCAGCUUAAGUAACGAAAACCUUGGUGAGAAUCCAAGGCUCCGAAAACCUAAGGUUUCCUCCGCAAGGUUCGUCCACGGGGGGUUAGUCAGCACCUAAGGCGAGGCCGAAAGGCGUAGUCGAUGGAAAUUAGGUUAAUAUUCCUAAACUUUUUCUUUUUAGUCACGGGGGACGAAAUUUAAUCGAAGAGGAACAAAAAACUCUUCAGUUUUCCUAGAAAAGCCCGAACGACUGCGAAAAGAUAAAAGCUGUACCGUAAACUGACACAGGUAGGUGGGUAGAAUAUACUAAGGAGCGCGAGAGAACUCUCUCUAAGGAACUCGGCAAAAUCACCCCGUAACUUCGGGAUAAGGGGUACCUCAUUUAUGAGGUCGCAGUGAAUAGACCCAGGCGACUGUUUACCAAAAACAUAGGUCUCCGCAAAGUCGUAAGACAAAGUAUGGGGGCUGACUCCUGCCCAGUGCUAGAAGGUUAAGGAAGUUGGUUCGUUUCGACAAAGCUAGCAACCGAAGCCCUAGUGAACGGCGGUCGUAACAAUAACGAUCCUAAGGUAGCGAAAUUCCUUGUCGGGUAAGUUCCGACCUGCACGAAAGGAGUAACGAUCUGGGUACUGUCUCGGAGAGAGGCUCGGUGAAAUAAAAUUGUCUGUGAAGAUUCGGACUACCUUCACUUGGACAAAAAGACCCUAUGAAGCUUUACUGUGUCUUGGAAUUGAAUUCGAGCUUUUCUUGCGCAGGAUAGGUGGGAGACUAUGAAGAAGAGCGUUCGCGUUCUUUGGAGUCAUUGUUGAGAUACCACCCUGGUCUAGCUAGAAUUCUAAGAAGAUAUCAUUUUCUGGUUCUUCAACAGUUUCAGGUGGACAGUUUCUCUGGGGCAGAGACCUCCUAAAAGGUAACGGAGGUGUACAAAGGUUCCCUCAAGCUGGUCGGAAAUCAGCUGAAGAGUACAAAGGUAGAAGGGAGCUUGACUGCGAGACCUACAAGUCAAGCAGGGACGAAAGUCGGUCUUAGUGACCCAAUAGUGCCGUGUGGAAGGGCUAUUGCUCAACGGAUAAAAGUUACUCUAGGGAUAACAGGCUAAUCUCCCCCAAGAGUUCACAUCGACGGGGAGGUUUGGCACCUCGAUGUCGGCUCAUCACAUCCUUCUGCAGCAGUAUGUGGAAAGGGUUGGGCUGUUCGCCCAUUAAAGUGGUACGCGAGCUGGGUUCAGAACGUCGUGAGACAGUUUGGUCUCUAUCCAGUGAAGGCGUUGGAGUAUUGAGAAGAACCUUUUCUUGUACGAGAGGACCGAAAAGGACACAUCACUGGUGUACCAGUUCUCGAAUAGGGAUACGCUGGGUAGCUACAUGUGGAGACGAGAACUGCUGAAAGCAUCUAAGUAGGAAACACACUUCGAGAUGAGUACUCCCACUUUUCAAAUAAAACAUUUCUUACGAAAUUGUUUCCGUGAAAAGAGAAGGUCACGGCAAGACUAGCCGUUUGAUAGAAGGAAGAUGUAAGCAAAGAGAUUUGUUAACAUGAAAUUUAUUUCAUACAGUCGAUCCUUACUAAUAGACCAAGUU